This 422-nucleotide ribosomal RNA is filed under the name uncultured bacterium. Its description in RNAcentral is "bacterial SSU rRNA". It matches the Rfam family "Bacterial small subunit ribosomal RNA", at positions 355 to 774 of the family's 1533-position model. The record is from RNAcentral.
UGAGGAAUAUUGGACAAUGGGCGCAAGCCUGAUCCAGCCAUGCCGCGUGCAGGAAUAAGCAUCUAUGGUGUGUAAACUGCUUUUGUACGGGAAGAAACACUCCUUCGUGAAGGAGCUUGACGGUACCGUAAGAAUAAGGAUCGGCUAACUCCGUGCCAGCAGCCGCGGUAAUACGGAGGAUCCAAGCGUUAUCCGGAAUCAUUGGGUUUAAAGGGUCCGUAGGCGGUUUAGUAAGUCAGUGGUGAAAGCCCAUCGCUCAACGAUGGAACGGCCAUUGAUACUGCUAGACUUGAAUUAUUAGGAAGUAACUAGAAUAUGUAGUGUAGCGGUGAAAUGCUUAGAGAUUACAUGGAGUACCGAUUGCGAAGGCAGGUUACUGCUAAUGGAUUGGCGCUGAUGGACGAAAGCGUGAGGAGCGAACA